Molecule: ribosomal RNA, 459 nt
Filed under: uncultured bacterium
Lineage: Bacteria
Description: partial 16S ribosomal RNA
Rfam family: Bacterial small subunit ribosomal RNA
Source: RNAcentral
CCUACGGGAGGCAGCAGUGAGGAAUAUUGGUCAAUGGCCGGAAGGCUGAACCAGCCAAGCCGCGUGAAGGACGAAGGUGCCAAGCAUUGUAAACUUCUUUUGUCAAGGGACAAAAUCAGGCUCGAGAGCCUGACCGAGGGUACUUGAAGAAAAAGCAUCGGCUAACUCCGUGCCAGCAGCCGCGGUAAUACGGGGGAUACGAGCGUUAUCCGGAUUUAUUGGGUUUAAAGGGUGCGUAGGGGGACUGUUAAGUCAGCGGUAAAAGGCCGGGGCUCAACCCCGGCGAGCCGUUGAUACUGGCUGUCUUGAGAUGUCGUGAGGUAUGCGGAAUGCGUGGUGUAGCGGUGAAAUGCUUAGAUAUCGCGCAGAACUCCGAUUGCGAAGGCAGCAUACCGGCGGCGAUCUGACGCUGAGGCACGAAAGCGUGGGUAUCGAACAGGAUUAGAUACCCCAGUAGUC